CUAACUGAAUCUUCAACAGAUGCCUAGUCCCUCCCCAGCAAGCUUUCUAAAGAUGUACAUAGGAAAGAAUUAGAAAUUAAUAUUUGUAAGUCAGAAAUAUAAAAAACUGCUUUUCAAGGAGAACAGAAGGGUAGAGACCAUGACUUUCCUCAAAGAAUAUACACAGACAAGGAGUGGAAGACAUGGAGUGAAGGUCAAGUUGAGCUUCAGGCCAAACAGGCAGACAAACCAGGGUUCACAGUAAGAGAAUGGAAGCAUGUGACAAAGUAACUUCUCAGAGUCCUUAUGCAUCGAUGAAUCUGUGUUCAAGUUGCAGCAACCUAACCUAACGGAAUGCCAAUGGGUGGGAGGAUGUUUUUACCAUUUUUUUGCACUCAGGUCACUUGGACCAAGUCUCUGUGGGUUGCUCCUCUCACAUCCUUGAGGCAUCAGCUGGAAUUUCUCGAGUGUUGCCAGAGGAUCCAUUGGUUUUGUAUGUGACGUCUUACUCAGAAGGCUGGCAAGUUGUCACUGGCUGGGAGGUGAGCCAGGGCAUUGGAUAGGAGGUGCAUGUCUUGCCCACAUGAGAUACUUCAGGGU
This is a non-coding RNA of Ictidomys tridecemlineatus (thirteen-lined ground squirrel), 579 nucleotides long. The record is from RefSeq and is a predicted model, not a curated record. Lineage: Eukaryota; Metazoa; Chordata; Mammalia; Rodentia; Sciuridae.